CUACGGGACGCUCCAGUGGGGAAUAUUGGACAAUGGACCAAAAGUCUGAUCCAGCAAUUCUGUGUGUUUGAUGAAGGCCUUCGGGUUGUAAAGAACUUUAAGUAGGGAAGAAGAAAGUGACGGUACCUACAGAAUAAGCGACGGCUAAAUACGUACCAGCAGCCGCGGUAAUACGUAUGUCGCAAGCGUUAUCCGGAAUUAUUGGGCAUAAAGCGCGUCUAGGCGGUUUACUAAGGCUGAUGUGAAAAUGCGGGGCUCAAAUCCGUAUUGCGUUGGAAACUGGUAGACUAGAGUAUUGGAGAGGUAGGCGGAACUACAAGUGUAGAGGUGAAAUUCGUAGAUAUUUGUAGGAAUGCCAAUGACGAAGGUAGCUUACUGGACAAAUACUGACGCUGAAGCGCGAAAGCUAGGGGAGCAAACAGGAUUAGAUACCCUCGUAGUC
RNAcentral lists this ribosomal RNA (442 nucleotides) under uncultured bacterium. RNAcentral describes it as "partial 16S ribosomal RNA". It matches the Rfam family "Bacterial small subunit ribosomal RNA", at positions 339 to 795 of the family's 1533-position model. The record is from RNAcentral.